CACAUGCGAGUCGAACGGGCGUAGCAAUACAUCAGUGGCAGACGGGUGAGUAACACGUGGGAACGUACCUUUUGGUUCGGAACAACUGAGGGAAACUUCAGCUAAUACCGGAUAAGCCCUUACGGGGAAAGAUUUAUCGCCGAAAGAUCGGCCCGCGUCUGAUCAGCUAGUUGGUGAGGUAAUGGCUCACCAAGGCGACGAUCAGUAGCUGGUCUGAGAGGAUGAUCAGCCACAUUGGGACUGAGACACGGCCCAAACUCCUACGGGAGGCAGCAGUGGGGAAUAUUGGACAAUGGGCGCAAGCCUGAUCCAGCCAUGCCGCGUGAGUGAUGAAGGCCCUAGGGUUGUAAAGCUCUUUUGUGCGGGAAGAUAAUGACGGUACCGCAAGAAUAAGCCCCGGCUAACUUCGUGCCAGCAGCCGCGGUAAUACGAAGGGGGCUAGCGUUGCUCGGAAUCACUGGGCGUAAAGGGUGCGUAGGCGGGUUUCUAAGUCAGAGGUGAAAGCCUGGAGCUCAACUCCAGAACUGCCUUUGAUACUGGAAGUCUUGAGUAUGGGAGAGGUGAGUGGAACUGCGAGUGUAGAGGUGAAAUUCGUAGAUAUUCGCAAGAACACCAGUGGCGAAGGCGGCUCACUGGCCCAUAACUGACGCUGAGGCACGAAAGCGUGGGGAGCAAACAGG
RNAcentral lists this ribosomal RNA (680 nucleotides) under uncultured Alphaproteobacteria bacterium. Its description in RNAcentral is "bacterial SSU rRNA". It matches the Rfam family "Bacterial small subunit ribosomal RNA", at positions 52 to 776 of the family's 1533-position model. The record is from RNAcentral. Lineage: Bacteria; Pseudomonadati; Pseudomonadota; Alphaproteobacteria.